Molecule: non-coding RNA, 1434 nt
Organism: Manis javanica (Malayan pangolin)
Lineage: Eukaryota; Metazoa; Chordata; Mammalia; Pholidota; Manidae
Source: RefSeq, a predicted model, not a curated record
ACAGACUGUAGAAAGGGAGGUGAACGACACCGUGGCUGCAAGGCAAGGAGUAGCAGAUGGAAUACACUGUAAGGUCCGUGACUCGGAGCAGUUUGGGAUUUGGGAGAAGCACCUAUUUGAAUUACACCACUGAUGUGUUGGAUUGUACUCAAGACCAAAUUACAAAUGUUAAGAAGAUGCCAGGGGGAGACAGUAAACACGUUUGUGCACAAUUUAAUCCCUGAUAGGAAAAAAAGUUACCAUCUACAGAUGGUGGAUCAGUAUUAUCCCAAUAAAAAAAGGUUUGGUAAAGCAAAGUGAUGACUUUCAGGACACUUUUGAAUCUCUUAACUCUACUUAAGACUUUGAGGUGGAUGAAAAGAAGUAUGUCACAAACUGCUAAACAAAUCAACAGAUGACAGUGUUUGCUGCGAAGUUAAUAAUCAGCUGGUACGUUUCAUGGACAUGAGGCACAGGGAGUAUGGUGCCAGCAAGGUCACCACGACUAAAAAAGAACAGGGCAACAUUCCAGGUCACCGCAAGUCACAGAGCUCAAGUAGAAACUUUGCAAAUGGCUUUACCAUGGUAAUGUAUCUGAUAAUUAUUUUCCUGAGAAUCUCUUUCAGUUCAGAAGACUACACUGAUCUAUGCUUACAAAUCUAAUUAUUCUUCCCACUCACAAGAAUAGGCUACUCAUGCUGUUUCGAUUAUCACUUUCAGGUCAUGGACAUGAAAAUAGGAUAUAAGUAACACCAGUGCCAUUUAUCAAAUGAUGUCCUGGAAGAAUUAGUUUUUCUUAAAAAAGUGAAUACUUCACUUACAAAGUUCACUGUCCUCAUUUUAUUUACCCCUGAAAAAUACCACUUGCUGAAGGACAUGAAGUUUGUAAAAUUUCUGACAUUUUUUAUUAGUAAUUAUUGCAUGAGUCAUGGAUUUUAUGGAAAUCUGCCUAUAGUUGUAGCAGAAUAGCAAAGUUAUCUAUCUGAAAAGGACUAAGUUUUCAUAUUUAGAAUCUUACUAUUUUUACUAAGGGAUAAGUAUAUUACUCACCAAAAUAGAAAAUAGAAUAUUCAUAUGAAAGUAUGAGGAGAUAGUGCAUUAUCAGAGGAUUUAAGAAAUACUGUCUUAUUCAACUUCAUUAUUUUAAAAGAAGAAGAAAAAGAGUGUAUUUCAAGAGGAAGAAUUGGGUGCUAACAUGGAGGCAGUGGUGAAUUUAGGGCUGAUCCCUCAUGAAUUGUCAGUGCAAGAAGUUGCAAACUUAUAAAACUCCAUGAUUUUAUAUAGAAACCUGAAGACUGCAUUCCUAAAAUGUAACAAAUGAAAAACUAUUUACAAAACAUGAUCAUCUCUAAUUUUGGGCAAACUGAACCCUGGAAAAUUGGCUCAACUUAAGAUAUUUUACUACCUACAAACAAAUUUCAGAACAUGAAUAUUUCCAUUGAAACAAUAUGGAUU